CAAAUACUCCCUCCGUCCAAAAAUUCUUGUCUUAGAUUUGUCUAGAUACGGAUGUAUCAAGUCACAUUUUAGUAUUAGAUACAUCCGGAUCUAGACAAAUCUAAGACAAGAAAUUUGGGACAGAGGGAGUAUAUG
Non-coding RNA from Triticum urartu, 135 nucleotides. NCBI's taxonomy places the organism in Eukaryota, Viridiplantae, Streptophyta, Magnoliopsida, Poales, Poaceae. The record is from Rfam.